Molecule: ribosomal RNA, 651 nt
Filed under: Pseudomonas sp. EK-I63
Lineage: Bacteria; Pseudomonadati; Pseudomonadota; Gammaproteobacteria; Pseudomonadales; Pseudomonadaceae
Description: bacterial SSU rRNA
Rfam family: Bacterial small subunit ribosomal RNA
Source: RNAcentral
GACCUGCCGGAGGCCUAUACUGCAAGUCGAGCGGCAGCGAGGAGCUUGGUCCUUGGUGGCGAGCGGACGAUGGGAGAGCAAUGCCUAAAAAUCCCCCUGGCAGGGGGAUAUAACGCUCGGAACCGGAUUCUUACACCGCAUACUUCCUACGGGAGAUAGCGGGAUACCCUCGGGCCUUGCGCUUUCAGAUGAGCCUGCGUGAGAUUAGCUAGUUGGUGAGGUAACGGCUCACCAAGGCUACGAUCCGUAACUGGUCUGAGAGGAUGACCCCCCCUCUGGAACUGACACACGGCCCACACUCCUACGGGAGGCAGCAGUGGGGAAUAUUGGACAAGGGGCGAAAGCCUGAUCCACCCAUGCCGCGUGUGUGAAGAAGGUCUUCGGAUUGUAAAAACUGCUUUUUUGGGAGGAAGGGCCUUCUACUUGUCGGAAUUGUUUUGACGUUACCGACAGAAUAAGCCCUAACUCCCUGUGUGCCCCGCGCGAAUACAUACAAAGGGUGCGUUAUCCGGAUUUAAGACUGGGCGGGAGCGCGCCGGGUGGUAAGUUAAGUGGUGUAAAUCCCCGGGCUCUCCUGGGAACUGGAUCUGACUGCUUGCUAAACUUGAUAGAGGGUGGUGGAAUUUCCUGUGGUGAAAUGAAAUGAAAAAA